AGCACUGAAGCGAGCACCCGUGUGUCCUUGCACCCGUGGCGGGGUCUGAGCGGAGUUGCUGGUCAACUGGUGUCAGCGCUGUGAGAACGGUUGCUCCCCGCGUCUGUGCGUUUCCACACGCAGGGCACUGACUGGGACGCCGCGUGGAGCCCACCGCCUCUGGGAGCAGCAUUGACUUCUGGGCAAUGAGGACGCCUGGGGGGCUCUGGACUGAAGGUGCCCCUGGACCCAGCAGUGGCUCUUCUCUUGGUGGCCCCGCAGCUCAACACUCACCUCUCAUUCACUCGGUGUGGCUUUGCCGGGUGCUGGGCACUGUCUGGAUGGACAGGAGAGACUGAUGGAGGGGCCCACACUCUGGUGGUGGAAGGUCCUCUUUCCAAAGGCCACGUGCUGAGCUGAGCGGCGGCGAGCCAGAGGACGUGCCCGUGGAGGUGGAAGGCGCUCUGUCCCUCCAUGGCUGCAGGUGUUGCAAUAGCAUCCCCCUCCUUCCAAAACUUGGCAAAAGUCUCGAGGAGCAAACCAGCCACAUAUUUGCCGCUGCUCCUUCCUGAAGCUGGACUUUGUUUCUUCAGAAACACCGCGUCCUGCCUGCCUCUUAGACACGCCUGGACCUCCCGCAGUCUCUGCACGUGGCCUACCGGCCAUGGGGGACGCUGCCUUGCUGUCUGGGUUCCCGGCAUUUUAACCUCGUUGCGCCAGCUCCACGCAGCUGCGAAGGCUUUUCCGCUUCCCCUCCCAGAGACACCGCUUUGUGUACCUGGUUCAGGUCUGUCUGGAGAGAUUCCCAUCAGUGUGUGUGUGCGUGUGUGUGC
Myotis daubentonii (Daubenton's bat) is the source of this 812-nucleotide long non-coding RNA. RefSeq lists it as uncharacterized. The record is from RefSeq and is a predicted model, not a curated record. Lineage: Eukaryota; Metazoa; Chordata; Mammalia; Chiroptera; Vespertilionidae.